UAUAUCUGGUAGUAAACUCGCAUAUAAAAUAAUUGAAUUUCUUAGUGGGAAUAAGUAAGUCUUCCCGGUUCAUUCGAGUACGUGUUACAUAGCAUCGUGAAAAGUCGUAUUAAUAGUUCAACUAUGUUGUAAUUUCGUUUUCGCCUAUUUGAAAUUAUUCAGGAAAUUUGUAUCGUAAAGAGAGAGGCUUUCAAAGGAAGUAAUCAAUAGUUGUAUUCCAAUAUCACAUAUGCUUACACAACAAGCUGUAAUACUUUGCCAAAUAUUCACAUUCAUACAUUACUUUAUGAAUUUAUGACUUUUUCUGCUACGUAUUUAUAGUUUUAUUGGAUGAUUAGGCCUCACAAUGGCCGCAAUUUAAUCUGUUGUAGUGACCGCGUUUCUGAUGGCCGUUUCGACUUUAACCAAAAAAAACAUGUUCCUUCACUUGAGAAUAUCUUUCUUGGUAUGAUGGCUACCUAUUUGGUCGAGAAGCCCAAUGUUGCAGACUGAGGUGCUUGAACUAAACUUCAACUCAGCGGUUGGCGCAUUGUGCUAAGAUUCAGGAACGUACUUGGCAUUGUGCCGAAGAUUACCGGACGUGGGUUUCAAAAUUCGAAAUCAGUCGGGGAUAAUUAUGUGCGAAAAGAUUGCAGGAUUUCUCGUCACUGUAGAAAGGUUCACGUAGUAAGAACUGCGACUUCCUCUACCAUCGAAGUGUAUGCACCAAGACGUAGGUAAAGAUAUAAUUCCUAAAUCAGAGGUAUACCGGAACCACGGCUCGCCAUAUGAACAAGCCAUGCAUGUUAUUGGCCUUCUUCUUCGUCGGAACGAAUAUGAAAGUAUUUACUGAACGUGAGUGUAUUGCUAGCGUCACCCUGCAGUCGAUAUAUAUCGUUGAGAUCUGUUCGAACCCAGAGCAUAAGGGAGUAUGGGGAAGAGUUCGAAAAUUGUAUUGAUCUAGGAGUCGAAAGUCGAUACGUCCAAUUAAAAAUCCUUUUUUUUUUCAACUUUUCACGUGGAAUUGGGGCACAAAUUGAAAAUUCCGUCAAACGGGAGUCGGGGUAGUUCUCUUGAAUAGAGUUUUUAUGAUAAUACUGCUCGGAUGGAGAUACUGAGGAAAUAUUCAUACCAAGCCCAGAAUUUGCUUUCUAUUUUGCAGGGAAUUGAAACGGUCAGAUGGUGGCACUUUAAGUCUGAAAGUCUUUUUCGUCAAAUUACGUUUAUGAAGCAAGAUUAAAUUUAAAAAGAUGGAAAUAUGAGUAAUGUAACGCACAUCUGUUGUCUUUCAUACAUUCAUUAAUUUUUUAGAUAAAACUUAGUCACUCUCUAUCUUCAAAUACGAUUUUCAUUUUCACAUCCUUCAUUUCGAUUUAACCAUAAAUUUAAGAUCAGAACUUCACUGCACCUAAGCAUUCCUGUCUACUUACAACGUUCAAUAUCGCCUGAUUGUCUCCAUUUGUAACUAGCUGUAGCUACUACUCGGGAAAGAGGUACUCAAUUCAUUGAAGUGGCCCUUACUCGCCUAUCCAUAAUUUUAUUUGGCGGGUUGAAAUUAUGACACAAAAUGUUAUAAAAGUAUGUAAAUAAACUUGCAUUUAAGUGUAAAAUGUUUUAAAAAUUAUAUGUAUCAUCAUUUAUAAUGAUUACCGGUAUAUAACUAUAAAUGCGGACUAAACUUUUGAAUACAAAAUGCUUACAUAUUAUAUCGUUAUUUACUUUAUACAAAAAACUAACUAACAUACCUAACAUAACUGCACUUGUGAUAUUAUACUUAUAUAUAUAUCUAGAUACAUAGUGAUUCCUUCGCAGAUUAUACGGCCUGCCACGGUUAUGACAAACUCUAGGGCGGUGCUGCAAACGAUGAUAAAGAUAUAUUGAGCAUCAUGCUAUAUGUGGAUUUAUGAACUAUCUUGGAAAUUUACGUGACACAUUAUCACAUGUGUGAAAACAUCAUUCAAAAUUUCGAUGGCGUCAUCGUUUGUUGUUUCCUGCAAGAAGAAAUUUAAUUCCAGUCGCUCUAGAAGUGUAUGUACCAAUAUGGAGAGCAUAGACACCAGACCCAAACAACACGACUUGAACUCUUCUAUUAAUUGCUACGAAGAAGAUGAAUUUUUAAUCUUUCACUGAAUUACUACAUACCUUGGUUUGUGGCAGCAUAAAUUAUUACCCGCCAUGGUUUCUAUUUAAAAAAGAUAAUAAUUUUUGAACGCAUUUAUUGUAAAUGCAUCUUUUUCCUUUUGAAAACCCUGUCUAGGACUCUAGACAGUACAUGUACGAAGCUACUUAACUCGUUUAGGACGUCUGGAAUCAUCCAGGUUCGGGGUAACGUAUAUGCAUUUAUCCCGGCUGUAUAUAACUGCAUAAUAUGAAAAGAUUUUCCUCUGUAUAAUUACUUUAUUCUCCGAAUAAGCAUUUGUGAAUAUAUAUAUAUUUUAGUGAAAUAUACCAUGGGGAAGCGGAAAUACCCAUGUGAACUUUUAGAAAAAGUCUGGAAAAAGUUCAAAAGGUUUUUAGUUGGAAAGAUUGUACCAAUAAUGACCCUUUAUUUUGCCUUAAAUUUUAAUUAUGAUAAAUAUACAUUUGGUAAACAAGAUUGCUUUUAAAAGAAACAAUGAUGUGAUUUACGAUUAAAAAUAUCAUCGCAAGACAUUUAUCUCUAAUUCGACCCAGCUUCAUUAUAACACUCAUUAUAUAAAUAUUACUGUUUAUUUUUGUUGUGUCAAUAUUGACUAUACUAAUAGAAUAAAUCAUACCUGCGGAAAUUAUCAGAGUCACUCUAACGUAUUCAUGUCUAUGCAUAGCACGCAUGUAUGCUUUGCUCGAAUGUAAAAUGAGAAACAAUUAACUUAGUUUGGAAAAGAGUUCAUAAAAUUGACAUAAAAAUUUACUUUACGUGAUAUAUUACUAUGAGUAUGAAGUAGCAAUCAAGCAGAUAUUUUCAAGAAUGUAAAAGAUGGUAGAUGUAUAAAUCUUUGAUAUAGAUCCAUAUACAUGAAUACAUAAAAUAGGAAAUGUGUCAUGCGAUUCGCGCAAACGUGCGUAUUGCAUCAAAUAAAAAUUUGCAUAAGCAAUAUUGACAAUAUUAACGAAAAAAAUUUGUACUCCAAAGAAGCUCUCAGCUCUUCCAAUUUUGGGUGCCCUCGUUUCUUGAUACUAUUUCUUUCAGUGCCAUUCAUUGUCACAAAAGAUAUAAUACACGUAGAAAAUCCAGUAAUUUAGUAAAAACGUUUGACACAAGUAUUUCAGCCUGUCGAUUACAUUCCUCUUGACGAUUUGAAAAAUUUAUGG
Molecule: non-coding RNA, 3270 nt
Organism: Styela clava
Lineage: Eukaryota; Metazoa; Chordata; Ascidiacea; Stolidobranchia; Styelidae
Source: RefSeq, a predicted model, not a curated record